GACGAACGCUGGCGGCGUGCUUAACACAUGCAAGUCGAACGGAGUGGCGAACGGGUGAGUAACACGUGGGUGAUCUGCCUUGCACUUCGGGUUAAGCUUGGGAAACUGGGUCUAAUACCGGAUAGUGCAAGAUGAGCUCGCGGCCUAUCAGCUUGUUGGUGGGGUAAUGGCCUACCAAGGCGUCGACGGGUAGCCGGCCUGAGAGGGUGUACGGCCACAAUGGGAAUGAGAUAGGGCGCAGACGGAUACGGGAGGCAGCGGUGGGGGAUAUUGCAGAAGGGGCGGAAGGCUGAUGCAGGGACGCGGGGUGGGGAAAGAAGGCCUUCGGGUUGUAAACUCAUUUCGACAGGGACGCGGUACCUGUAUAAGAAGCACCGGCUAACUACGUGCCAGCCGCCGCGGUAAUAC
Molecule: ribosomal RNA, 408 nt
Filed under: uncultured bacterium
Lineage: Bacteria
Description: partial 16S ribosomal RNA
Rfam family: Bacterial small subunit ribosomal RNA
Source: RNAcentral